This 163-nucleotide small nuclear RNA is filed under the name Castor canadensis (American beaver). Its description in RNAcentral is "U1 spliceosomal RNA (ENSCCNG00000024407.1)". It matches the Rfam family "U1 spliceosomal RNA". From Rfam's summary of the family: U1 is a small nuclear RNA (snRNA) component of the spliceosome (involved in pre-mRNA splicing). Its 5' end forms complementary base pairs with the 5' splice junction, thus defining the 5' donor site of an intron. There are significant differences in sequence and secondary structure between metazoan and yeast U1 snRNAs, the latter being much longer (568 nucleotides as compared to 164 nucleotides in human). Lineage: Eukaryota; Metazoa; Chordata; Mammalia; Rodentia; Castoridae. The record is from Rfam by way of RNAcentral.
AUAGUUACCUGGCAGGGGAGAUACCAUAAUCACAAAGGUGGUUUCCCCAGGCGAGGCUUAUCCAUUGCACUCCAGAUGUGCUGACCCCUGCGAUUUCCCCAAAUGUGGGAAACUCAAUCGCAUAAUAUGUGGUAGUGGGGGACUGGGUUUGCGCUCUCCCCUA